This 270-nucleotide unclassified non-coding RNA is filed under the name fungal sp. Its description in RNAcentral is "partial internal transcribed spacer region". The stretch from base 1 to 46 matches the Rfam family "Eukaryotic small subunit ribosomal RNA", at positions 1786 to 1831 of the family's 1831-position model. Lineage: Eukaryota; Fungi. The record is from RNAcentral.
AAGUCGUAACAAGGUUUCCGUAGGUGAACCUGCGGAAGGAUCAUUAACAAAUUCAAAACAUUCGUCUUGGGGGUUGUUCGGUUGGUCAUCUUCUUUUGAGGACCGAUCAACCGGCCGACCUCUCAUUGACAAAUAAACACUUACAUUUAUGAUUGACAACAAAUGGAGAACCAACAUGGCAUCAUCCAUACAUACUUUUUGUAUGUGUGUGUGUGACAUGUGUCUUUUUAAAAGCAAAUACAACUUUUAACAAUGGAUCUCUUGGCUCUU